This 448-nucleotide ribosomal RNA is filed under the name uncultured bacterium. RNAcentral's name for it is "bacterial SSU rRNA". It matches the Rfam family "Bacterial small subunit ribosomal RNA", at positions 330 to 794 of the family's 1533-position model. The record is from RNAcentral.
CCCAGACUCCUACGGGAGGCAGCAGUGGGGGAUAUUGCACAAUGGGGGGAACCCUGAUGCAGCGACGCCGCGUGGGUGAAGGAGCGUUUCGGCGCGUAAAGCCCUCUCGGCAGGGAAGAAGGAGGACGGUACCUGACUAAGAAGCCCCGGCUAACUACGUGCCAGCAGCCGCGGUAAUACGUAGGGGGCAAGCGUUAUCCGGAUUUACUGGGUGUAAAGGGGGCGCAGACGGCAGCGCAAGCCAGGAGUGAAAGCCCGGGGCCCAACCCCGGGACUGCUCUUGGAACUGCGCGGCUGGAGUGCAGGAGGGGCAGGCGGAAUUCCUGGUGUAGCGGUGAAAUGCGUAGAUAUCAGGAGGAACACCGGUGGCGAAGGCGGCCUGCUGGACUGCAACUGACGUUGAGGCCCGAAAGCGUGGGGAGCAAACAGGAUUAGAUACCCCUGUAUA